GACGAACGCUGGCGGCGUGCUUAACACAUGCAAGUCGAACGAAGAGCGAUGGAAGCUUGCUUCUAUCAAUCUUAGUGGCGAACGGGUGAGUAACGCGUAAUCAACCUGCCCUUCAGAGGGGGACAACAGUUGGAAACGACUGCUAAUACCGCAUACGAUCUAAUCUCGGCAUCGAGGAUAGAUGAAAGGUGGCCUCUACAUGUAAGCUAUCACUGAAGGAGGGGAUUGCGUCUGAUUAGCUAGUUGGAGGGGUAACGGCCCACCAAGGCGAUGGUCAGUAGCCGGUCUGAGAGGAUGAGCGGCCACAUUGGGACUGAGACACGGCCCAGACUCCUACGGGAGGCAGCAGUGGGGAAUCUUCCGCAAUGGACGAAAGUCUGACGGCGCAACGCCGCGUGAGGGAUGACGGCCUUCGGGUUGUAAAGCUCUGUUAAUCGGGACGAAAGGCCUUCUUGCGAAUAAUGAGAAGGAUUGACGGUACCGGAAUAGAAAGCCACGGCUAACUACGUG
Molecule: ribosomal RNA, 510 nt
Filed under: uncultured bacterium
Lineage: Bacteria
Description: partial 16S ribosomal RNA
Rfam family: Bacterial small subunit ribosomal RNA
Source: RNAcentral